AGCGAACGCUGGCGGCAGGCCUAACACAUGCAAGUCGAACGAACCUUUCGGGGUUAGUGGCGGACGGGUGAGUAACACGUGGGAACGUGCAUGUAGGCUCGGAAUAACACAGGGAAACUUGUGCUAAUACCGAAUGUGCCAUUCGGGGGAAAGAUUAAUCGCCUUUAGAGCGGCCCGCGUCUGUUUAGCUAGUUGGGUGAGGUAAUGGCGCAUCAAGGCGACGAACAGUAGCUGGUCUGAGAGGAUGAGCCGCCACAUUGGCACUGAGACACGGCCCAAACUCCUACGGGAUGCAGCAGUGGGUAAUCCUGCGCUAUGGGCGAAAGCCUGACGCAGCCCUGCCGCGUGAAUGAUGAAGGUCUUAGGAUUGUACAAUUCUUUCACCGGGGACGAUAAUGACGGUACCCGGAGAAGAAGCCCCGGCUAACUUCGUG
RNAcentral lists this ribosomal RNA (434 nucleotides) under uncultured bacterium. RNAcentral describes it as "partial 16S ribosomal RNA". It matches the Rfam family "Bacterial small subunit ribosomal RNA", at positions 29 to 507 of the family's 1533-position model. The record is from RNAcentral.